AAAAGAAAUAUUGAUGCCCUCUUCUUUAAAUGUUCAAUUUUUUCUUACACAAACUACAUUUCAAAGAAAUAUAACCACUUUAGAAAGCGAUAUUUUAUGUGAUAAUGUUUUCUCUUAUCCUCAAAUCCACAACACAAACUUAAAAGAGGCUCUAAAUAUAACAAGAGCUCUUUUCACUUUCACUGAAGACUUGUUGAAACAUGAAAAGAAUUCCAAGAAUGUAACAUUUCACCCUUUAACUGUGGAAACAAAAUACUUUGUGCUGGGAUCCAUUCGUUUUCCUUUUCGUAAAUGUCUUCUUAUCUUAGUAGGUGUAUACCCAAAAGAUUAACAACCUUAUCUUAGGUUUUUUUCUGUUAGUUUGCAAAGAAAGGUAACAAACACAUUUAACAUGGAACAAAGCGAUGAUUGUGUUUUUUGAUUCUUAAACUAAAGAGGAAAACAAACAGGAUUCAUUUCAUUGGAAAGGUUUCGAACUACCUGUACAAAACAAGGAAAAAAAGCCUUUAACCUUAUUGCUUCGUUGUAUUCUUCAUCGUUUAUGGCAUCAUUUUUUCUUGUUUUAUAAUCAAGAACACUUUCACCGUUACCUUUCCUUUGAAACGCUUGUGGAAAAUUACAUUGCUCAUUUUGUUCCUCGUUUCUUCUCAAACCCUAAUAUCGUAAAGUUCACAUUAACACCUUACCAUGUUUUUCCUGAUACCCAAAACCCAAUAACUCGGCCUAUGUGUACUAUUAUCAAUUUGAGACUUUGGAAUUUUAUUUAUCAGUUGAAAACGUUACAACCACUGAAAAAAAAAGGUUCUACAUUCCAUUCAGGUUGUAUGUUUUAUAAAGAUUAUUAUAUGGGAGGAACAAUAGAACAAUCUCAGGCUGUCGUUAUUUAUGAUUGUCUUUUUCAAUCGAAUCAAACAAGCCAACUGCUAAGCGGUUGGGAAAAAAAAGAUUGUUUCAAUUAUAAACUUAACGAUAUUCCAUGUUUUUAUAACCUAUGUGAUCAACCUGAAGAGAUUAAAGAAAGAAUUACCAAUGGAACAUGGAUUGGUUAUCUUUAUGGAAUUCAAAAAACCAAGGUUACAAAUGAGAAAACCUCUGAAUCGCGCGAAUUCGUGAAUGAAUUAUUAAUAGAUAUCGAAAAAGAUUUGUUAGUUAUUCCGAAAAUUUUUACACAAAAAUCCUCAGGUUUAUAUCUCAUUGUUUUCAAGUAUGAAGACAUAUCUUUUUUAAUGCUUUUUAAUCAAUUACCUCUAGACGAUUGUGUUACCUUACAAAGUAUGACACAGGGUAUUUUUGGAACAUCGAUAGCGCUAUCCUCCUGGUUUUUUCUUCUGACCAAGUUUUUAUGCGACGAAGAAUUCGGUUUACCAAUCUUCUUAAAAACAAUACGUUCCGCUUUACCAGAAGAGCGCACACAUUUUAGAGAUUAUAAUAGUGUAUCCUCAACAAUUAUCCUUGAUAACGUUCAAAAAUGGUCAAAUUUACUCUUCAACCAUACUUCAAUGUCUUGUAUGAACAAAAACCGAGUACAACCCCUUUCUGUAGUAAAAAAAAGAGCAGACAUGGCUUUACACCAAGAAAAAAAUAUUCUAUGGAUUCUCUAUAAUAUUUUCAACUUUCCAUAUAGUGAAACGCUUCAAACAAUUUCUGUGAGAUUUAAAAACACUGCAAAAAUUAGUUUACAUCAAGAUUUUCAAAGAUCUUUUUCUUAUCAUAUCGGAGAAAAACAAACAAAUGAUGAUAACGGGGAAGAUGAAUUUUUAAAUAAAACAAUUUUGGAGCAUUUUUAAGAAAACCUGAAAAAGAAACUUUGUAAUUUUUUGAAAUUUAUCUAAUAAAUUUAUUCCAAGUCCCAUGACACAGUAGCACUUAAUGUUUUAAUAAGUAUUUUGUAAAGUGCUUUAGAACGCAGUUCGCACUCUGAACUUUUGUGGCUCACAUUAGUGGGACAGAAAAUGAUUCAUAUAGAUAUUAAUUUUUUAAAAAUACAACAGAAAUCUUUUGGGAUGGAGCAAACCUUUGUCGCCAUUAAACCGGAUGCGGUUAAAAGACAUCUUAUCCAUGCUAUUAUUGAAAGAUUUGAGAAAAAAGGCUUUCAAUUAAUUGGUAUGAAAAUGGUCGUACCUUCCACAGAGUGCUUGGAAAAUCAUUAUGAGGAGCACAAACAUAAAUCAUUUUUUCCUCAUCUUGUUACAUUUAUGCAAUCCUCCCCUGUCGUUGCAAUGGUAUGGAAGGGACCAGAUGCUAUAGCGCAAGCUAGAAAAAUAAUAGGUGCCACGCAUCCUCUUCAAGCAGAUGUUGGAACAAUCCGUGGAGAUUAUGCAAUUGUUUGCGAUAAAAAUUUAGUACAUGCAAGUGAUUCUAUUCAAGCAGCUAAAAAAGAAAUCAACCUGUGGUUUAAAUCAAAUGAGCUAUUCGUAUGCGAUGAUAAUACCUAUUGAAAGAGUGAUGUGCAUAUUUUUAUAAGGCUUUCAUUACUCUUUUAUAUCCUAUUUCUAAAAUUCAAUUCUUUUUAACAAAACUCUGGACAGUAACCGCACUGUCGUGCAGU
This is an RNA transcript of Hylaeus volcanicus, 2548 nucleotides long. RefSeq lists it as uncharacterized. The transcript is spliced from 16 exons. The record is from RefSeq and is a predicted model, not a curated record. Lineage: Eukaryota; Metazoa; Arthropoda; Insecta; Hymenoptera; Colletidae.